CCCUUAGAUGUUCUGGGCCGCACGCGCGCUACACUGACCAGUGCAACAAGCAUCCGUCCUUGGCCGACAGGCCCGGGCAAUCUUUGAACGCUGGUCGUGAUGGGGAUAGACUUUUGCAAUUUUUGGUCUUCAACGAGGAAUUCCUAGUAAACGCAAGUCAUCAACUUGCAUUGAUUGCGUCCCUGCCCUUUGUACACACCGCCCGUCGCACCUACCGAUUGAAUGGUCCGGUGAAGCCUCCGGAUUGGCGCGCACCUCGGUGCCGCCGAGAAGUUGGCUAAACCUUACCAUUUAGAGGAAGGUGAAGUCGUAACA
This 315-nucleotide ribosomal RNA is filed under the name uncultured eukaryote. RNAcentral describes it as "partial 18S ribosomal RNA". It matches the Rfam family "Eukaryotic small subunit ribosomal RNA", at positions 1470 to 1796 of the family's 1831-position model. The record is from RNAcentral.